CAAGAAUUCCAGAGGCAACCUCCCGCCCACACGCUGGGGUGGAGGCGGCCUGUUCCCUAGUGCUCCUGUCACUCAUCUGUGCCGGCACCUUUGGUUUUCACCAUAGGAUCCUCGGAUUCCUCAAGGCCCUUCACCUCCAGGAAAAGCUAAGACUCUCAAGAGGGGGAGGCACGUGAGGGAUGACACAGGAUUGAGUCAUGGAAACUGCUCAUGGUAAUGAAGGGAGUCCUAGGCAAGAAGGACCUCUCCAGAAAGAUGCUGCACAUUUCUGCUUUUUCUUGGCUUUCAGUUCUUAAGGCUCCCAAAGAAAACUCCACUUGCACAAUUUCUCCUUGUUCCUUCGGCCUUUCAGCAAUUACCCAGCCCAUUCCCAAAGCCUGGGACUCUGUGUCAUCUUGAAUGGUUCACGCCUCCUUGUUCCUGAUCUUCUUUCCCCACCUCCUCCCAUCCUUCCUGCCCCCAGUUCCCCAGAUAGUAACGAAAGCAAGGUCCUUGGGUCCUGGGAGCACCCACAUGUUCUUUUGGGAGGGCUGAGUGGCUACUGACAGCAAGAACAGAACCUAGGGCCAGUGUCGCAGAAUUCCCAGAGCUGUGCCAGUUUAAGGGCUACCCACAGGCAUCUCUAUGCUUUGCCAUUUGCCCCUGUAAGAAGUAAGGUCGGGAGUCCUGGAGAAGUCAAGCUCAAGUCGUCCUUUGUAACGACACUAAAGCUCACCUUGAGUUCACUUCACACGGGCCAGUCACAACCACUUAAUUCUGUCCUCACAGCCCAUCAGCAGGCACUGUGGUGUUUCUAUCUUAUGGAGGAGGACGCCAGGGCUUGCCCAACGCUAUCACCUUGCCAGAGUCGUGCUGCUGAAUGAUGGCAGAUCUAGGGUGCUGUCGUGGGUGUCUCUGUCUCCCUCCCACAUCCCAGUCUCUACCCACCAUACUCCCUGGAAGUGGAGAGCAAUCACAGAUCUGCUGGUUUCUUUCUCUGCACCUGGCAACCUCUGGAGGGCAAGGCCUGCACUUUUCCAGCUGUGACACCAGCCCAUGUGUCUCAUAUCAUUUCUCUCUCAUGUAGCAAGAAUUUCUCCCCAGAAAGGAGGUGGCAAAGAUGGGCAGGGGGUGCAAAGGUGGGGGCUCUGACAGCCAGGUUCCAGGGUGCACUGCUGAGCCAGCCCACAACCAUGGUGAGGCAGGGAGAUUCCGCAGGACUCCGUAUCCGUGCUUUGAAGAUGGCUUUCGUGCUUUUAGUCUUUUCUUUGUUCAUUUGUUGUUUGUUUUCUGAUGAUGUUUUAGUAAAAAGUUCUUUUGAAAAUCCCAAGCUUUCUCAGCUGUGCAAAGGGGAACAAAGAACAGGGCUUUGGUGUUUUGUCCGGACUUGGACAGGUGUCCCGCUGAGGAAGUGGCCUGUCCCAGCCCCAGUCGGGUGGUGCUGGGAGGGUGGGGAGAGAGGCAACCAGGCUCAGCUUGGCCGGGGCUUCUGUGUGCCCUUCCGUCGGCUACCUUCCUCCUUUAGAGCUGUCUUUGUUGGAUUUGCCCUUUUCCAUAAGGAGCCAUCGACCCCUUUAUCAUCCAACACAAUGGAGGUUUAUGAGAAACAUAUUCCAGGAAGGUUACCAAUUUUUCCCUUAAAUAGACCCAAGUCAAAUUGCUGAUCCUCCC
Molecule: long non-coding RNA, 1650 nt
Filed under: Homo sapiens (human)
Lineage: Eukaryota; Metazoa; Chordata; Mammalia; Primates; Hominidae
Description: long non-coding RNA NONHSAT208593.1
Source: RNAcentral